RNAcentral lists this long non-coding RNA (545 nucleotides) under Aquila chrysaetos chrysaetos. RNAcentral describes it as "lncRNA (ENSACCG00020014401.1)". The record is from RNAcentral. Lineage: Eukaryota; Metazoa; Chordata; Aves; Accipitriformes; Accipitridae.
CUUUCAUAGUUAGAUGAGUAGAAUAUGUAUUUGCAAAACAAUCUUUAUGUGACAAAAAAGCAAAAAUGAAUACAUCAUAAAGUGCAGGAAGUUCCUUGACGUGAUGUCACAGCUGAUGACCAAGUCAUGCUUAACUUGUGUAGACGCAAUAGCUGCCCUCUGUGAAAGAAAUAUUGAUUGAUACUAUUAGCAAUAAGGAUACUGUAUUAUACACUGAAUAUGUUGUAUUUCUUUUUUAAAGGUAAGCACUGAAAGACUCAGACUUUCAAUUCAGCUGAAUAGAAGUGAAGCCCUGAUUGAGUGGUUCAGCUCAGCACAAAGAACUAGAGCACAAUGAGGAGUUCUCCUUUGUUAGUAAUCCCGCAGCACCUCUCUUCAAGCUAUUUUGUUACUUGCCAGAGAGGAGCAGGCUCAGCAAGAAACUACGACAACAAACCAAAGCUGCUUUGCCUUUAAAAGUUCAUCUUCGCCUCGUCCAAGAGAAGCAGAAAGGUGACUGGGUCAGCCUGGAGGUAUAUCCACUCGAGAAGGUUUCCGUGUGAGCA